This 454-nucleotide ribosomal RNA is filed under the name uncultured bacterium. Its description in RNAcentral is "partial 16S ribosomal RNA". It matches the Rfam family "Bacterial small subunit ribosomal RNA", at positions 28 to 507 of the family's 1533-position model. The record is from RNAcentral.
GAUGAACGCUGACAGAAUGCUUAACACAUGCAAGUCAACUUGAACUUCGGUUUGUGUGGCGGACGUGUGAGUGACGCGUAGGGAACUUGCCUCACAGCUAGGGACAACAUGUGGAAACGAAUGCUAAUACCUGAUAUUAUGAUUUUAGGGCAUCCUAGAAUUAUGAAAGCUAUAUGCGCUGUGAGAGAGCUUUCCGUCCCAUUAGCUAGUUGGAGUGGUAACGGCUCACCAAGGCGAUGAUGGGUAGCCGGCCUGAGAGGGUGAACGGCCACAAGGGGACCGAGAGAUGGCCGUGAAGCGGAGUGGAGGCAGCAGGGGGGAACAUUGGACAAUGGACCAAGAGUCUGAGUGAGCAAUGCUGUGUGCACGAUAAAGUUUUUCGGAAUGGAAAGUGAUUUCAGUUGGGAAGAAAAAAAUGACGGUACCAACAGAAGAAGUGCCGGCUAACUACGUG